This 467-nucleotide ribosomal RNA is filed under the name uncultured bacterium. RNAcentral describes it as "partial 16S ribosomal RNA". It matches the Rfam family "Bacterial small subunit ribosomal RNA", at positions 28 to 506 of the family's 1533-position model. The record is from RNAcentral.
GUCGAACGCUGGCGGCGUGCUUAACACAUGCAAGUCGAACGGAAAGGCCCUGCUUUUGUGGGGUGCUCGAGUGGCGAACGGGUGAGUAACACGUGAGUAACCUGCCCUUGACUUUGGGAUAACUUCAGGAAACUGGGGCUAAUACCGGAUAGGAGCUCCUGCUGCAUGGUGGGGGUUGGAAAGUUUCGGCGGUUGGGGAUGGACUCGCGGCUUAUCAGCUUGUUGGUGGGGUAGUGGCUUACCAAGGCUUUGACGGGUAGCCGGCCUGAGAGGGUGACCGGCCACAUUGGGACUGAGAUACGGCCCAGACUCCUACGGGAGGCAGCAGUGGGGAAUAUUGCACAAUGGGCGGGAGCCUGAUGCAGCAACGCCGCGUGCGGGAUGACGGCCUUCGGGUUGUAAACCGCUUUCGCCUGUGACGAAGCGUGAGUGACGGUAAUGGGUAAAGAAGCACCGGCUAACUACGU